AACCAACAGGGAUUGCCUUAGUAGCGGCGAGUGAAGCGGCAAAAGCUCAAAUUUGAAAUCUGGCACUUUCAGUGUCCGAGUUGUAAUUUGAAGAAGGUAUCUUUGGGUCUGGCUCUUGUCUAUGUUUCUUGGAACAGAACGUCACAGAGGGUGAGAAUCCCGUGCGAUGAGAUGUCCCAGACCUAUGUAAAGUUCCUUCGAAGAGUCGAGUUGUUUGGGAAUGCAGCUCUAAGUGGGUGGUAAAUUCCAUCUAAAGCUAAAUAUUGGCGAGAGACCGAUAGCGAACAAGUACAGUGAUGGAAAGAUGAAAAGAACUUUGAAAAGAGAGUGAAAAAGUACGUGAAAUUGUUGAAAGGGAAGGGCUUGAGAUCAGACUUGGUAUUUUGUAUGUUACUCUCUCGGGGGUGGCCUCUACAGUUUACCGGGCCAGCAUCAGUUUGGGCGGUAGGACAAUUGCAAAGAAAUGUGGCACUGCCUCGGUAGUGUGUUAUAGUCUUUGUCGAUACUGCCAGCCUAGACUGAGGACUGCGGCUUCGGCCUAGGAUGUUGGCAUAAUGAUCUUAAGUCG
RNAcentral lists this ribosomal RNA (568 nucleotides) under Lodderomyces orthopsilosis. Its description in RNAcentral is "eukaryotic LSU rRNA". It matches the Rfam family "Eukaryotic large subunit ribosomal RNA", at positions 63 to 647 of the family's 3401-position model. The record is from RNAcentral. Lineage: Eukaryota; Fungi; Ascomycota; Pichiomycetes; Serinales; Debaryomycetaceae.